Molecule: transfer RNA, 48 nt
Filed under: Hippotragus niger (sable antelope)
Lineage: Eukaryota; Metazoa; Chordata; Mammalia; Artiodactyla; Bovidae
Description: partial tRNA-Gln
Source: RNAcentral
CGAAGAGUUUUGGGUUCUUAGGAUUAGGUUCAAUUCCUAUAGUUCUAG